GAUGAACGCUGGCGGCGUGCCUAAUACAUGCAAGUCGAGCGAACAGACGAGGAGCUUGCUCCUCUGACGUUAGCGGCGGACGGGCGAGUAACACGUGGAUAACCUACUUAUAAGACUGGGAUAACUUCGGGAAACCGGAGCUAAUACCGGAUAAUAUAUUGAACCGCAUGGUUCAAUAGUGAAAGACGGUUUUGCUGUCACUUAUAGAUGGAUCCGCGCCGCAUUAGCUAGUUGGUAAGGUAACGGCUUACCAAGGCAACGAUGCGUAGCCGACCUGAGAGGAUGAUCAGCCACACUGGAACUGAGACACGGUCCAGACUCCUACGGGAGGCAGCAGUAGGGAAUAUUCCGCAAUGGGCGAAAGCUUGACGGAGCAACGCCGCGUGAGUGAUGAAGGUCUUCGGAUCGUAAAACUCUGUUAUUAGGGAAGAAAAAAUGUAUAAGUAACUAUGCACGUCUUGACGGUACCUAAUCAGAAAGCCACGGCUAACUACGUG
Molecule: ribosomal RNA, 497 nt
Filed under: uncultured bacterium
Lineage: Bacteria
Description: partial 16S ribosomal RNA
Rfam family: Bacterial small subunit ribosomal RNA
Source: RNAcentral